Molecule: non-coding RNA, 368 nt
Organism: Paramuricea clavata
Lineage: Eukaryota; Metazoa; Cnidaria; Anthozoa; Malacalcyonacea; Plexauridae
Source: the annotation of a GenBank genome assembly
UAGUCAUGUUAUUAGUUUGUAAUAUUAUGAUCGCCGAGGAAAACUCAAAAAAGUUUGCUGCAGAGAUAAGUUUAGCUGUUUGAUUUUGUAUUUUUCAAUGAAGUUGUUUAUGAGUUUGACUAUUGAUUGAAAUAAGUGUACCUUUGGGACAUGCUUUGUUGUUGUGAGACUUAUGUAAAUCACUGCAUUGAUUUUAAACUUAGUUUUCGAAUAUGGCUGCAACUGGAAGGUUCUAUUUUGUGUCAGACCGGACAGUUGAAAAUGUUCGAAAAGAUAGAGUGCCAAAGAAUACCAUAAGGCACACUACGUGGAGUACAAAUGUGUACAACGCGUGGGUUAAAGAGAGGAACGAGCAGUUUAAAGAUUUU